AGGCCUGAUGAAGAGCCGAAAAGGGCGAGAAAAAGGUUUUACAUUUUAGAAUCAGAAUGUCGAACACAGAUCCACGGCGUACCACAAAGGAACUCCUCGAAGACAACCAUUUCGUCUCGGAGAUCUCUCGUCGCUGGCAAGCAGUCAGUGUCUUUGCCUUGGCCUUUUCCCGUUUCAUGUGAUUGCUGAAGAUGUUUAUUUAACACUUGUUAUCAUUUUCUAUUAUCUCUUCAAUUUGAUGUGUGCUACGCUGUGCUGCACUAUCAAGCAUCUGACAAAUUUUGACGAGGUUCAACGUUUAGCCUUACUUUCUUUCAUUCUUCUUGUUAGGUUUUUAUUGUUUGGGUAUUUUGAGUACAUUCACUGGCUUUGGGGAUAUUGAUGGUGUGAAUGGUAUGCAUAAUCAAUUCAAAUUUGGUUGGAGAGAAGUUUUCAUUCUGACUCUGUUAACAUUGUUAUGGACCCUGUCAAUCCAUGAUCUCCUUGGAACUCAUCAAAGUUGUUGAAAUUGAGCUUGAGCAGUGACUUUGGUUCUGGAUAGAAUAUAAUACAACGAUAAGUAGCAACAUGGCCCGGGCGUUCCCUUCUGUACAGCUACACAUACAACUUUUUCGUGGAAAAGUUAUGGAAUUUGUCAGAUAUCCCUUCACGUGGCACCAAGUUUGUUACUGUUACUGGUAGAAAACGUCUUGAUGAACAUUUUAUUUCUUCCCCUCUUUGGGCUGUAUUUAGCUGUUGAAUUUGAACUAUUUAAUGUUGGCCCGCACUUAUCUGAAAAUCUAGUUUGCUUUUAAUUUUUAAUUAUAAAAUUAUGCCAUUUUAUUAUUUAAA
Long non-coding RNA from Prosopis cineraria, 831 nucleotides. RefSeq lists it as uncharacterized. Lineage: Eukaryota; Viridiplantae; Streptophyta; Magnoliopsida; Fabales; Fabaceae. The record is from RefSeq and is a predicted model, not a curated record. The transcript has 6 exons.